UUUCCGUAGGCGAACCUGCGGAAGGAUCAUUAAUGAAAAUUAUAAAAAAACGCCCAAGUGAAAUGUGCACGUGUGUUUUUUCAAUCUCUUUUUUUCACUUUUUUUUGAUUUGAUUCUUUUUUUUUAUAUAAAAAAAAAGAAGAGGAAAGAAUUAAAGUGAAAAAAAAAAGAGAUAUGAAAAAAUCAAAAAACUUUUAAAACCCUUUAUAAAAUAAAAUAUAGUUUGUCAAUUUUAUUGUUUCUUUUUUUUUCACAUGACUUUUAUUAAUUGAAAAAAAAGAGAGACGUAAAAUAUAAAAUGAAAAAAAAAACUUUUAACAACGGAUCUCUUGGCUCUC
Molecule: unclassified non-coding RNA, 338 nt
Filed under: plant metagenome
Description: partial contains small subunit ribosomal RNA, internal transcribed spacer 1, and 5.8S ribosomal RNA
Source: RNAcentral